GUCUGGAGCAUAGUGCUUUCUCUUCCUUUCACAUUUGCUAAGGCUCGGGUUCAGAUAGGAACCUUAGAGCAAAAUAUUCUUUCUUGGUAUUAACAAGAGAGAGAAAUCACUUCAUUUUAUCCGCUGCCAUUUUCCUAGAAAUUUCUAGAAUAUCAUAAAGGAAAUAUUAUUUGUCUAAAUGGAGCAAGUUCUCUGAUUCUACUGAUUACAGUUUAUAGUUCAGGCAAUAUUAAAUAAGCUAUUACCACUUGACAGUAAACAAGUCCUCAGUAAACCUCUAGAAAAAAUUUAAAAAUUUUCAAAGAUUCAACUAUUGUGCUGCUUCCUGGGAAAAAAAGACCUACUACUUAUUGAUGGAUUUAUAAUUGCCUGAUUUAUGGCAAGCUCUUCAGACCUAUGCUGCGUGCAGAACAUUUGGAUGGCAGAAGAAGUUAGACAUAUCAGUAGUAUAAUUACUGCAAUUCACACGCAUCAAACUGGGCUUUUGAAUAUAGGAACUACUGAAAUACAGUUAUUGUAGUAAAAAUGUCAAGACUAGAGACUGCUCUGUUUAAUAUCUGGCAUAUUAAUCCUAAUUAUAUAAACAAUAUGAAAUAAAGAGACUAGAAAAUAAGUAUAAGGAUUAUUUAUUGAAAUGACAGGAACAUUUGGAAGGGAAAUAGGAACAAAAGUAUCACAUUUGCUAGAUGGUUAAGAAACUCUCUUAGACAUUGUUUCUGUAUACAUCUGCAAUAAUCUUAUGUGUCCAUCAUAGUUAUGUAACCUUGUAGCCGACACUAAGUAGCCAUGUUUCUAAUGAGAAAUGUAUGGAAAUGAAUCCUUCUUGGGUUUGUUUUAAGAAAGAGUGUCAUGUUGCCUGCUCUGGUUUACAAAUCCCAAAUAUGGUUUUGGACUUAGUUCCCCUGCCUCUUCCUGCCAGUACUUUGGGUGCAAGCAUGGGCCGCCACGCCCAGCAGUGCCAACAGUGCCGGGUGCCUGCAUUUCACUCUGCAGGCAGCCCAUCGCUCACACUGACUCUUCAGGUGGCCCAGUGGCUGCUUUGAACUGUUAGGGGAAAGUACACACAUGCAGCGCCUGUGUUUGUGGUAAGUUAGUGUCCGCAGUUCUUCCUGUUAACUAGUUACUCAUUUUAAUUAAUAUUGUUAAACUGGGGCAGGGAUAAUUUUGAUUUGACGAAUGUUUAUUAUCAAAUUUUCACAUUAUUAGAGAAUCUAUAUUCUAAUUUGUGUGAUUAAUAUGUCUUCUAAAAGUGAAAGUGAAUCUUAAAAAUAAAUUUUAUGUUAGUAAAAGCUUAGUAGAAAACCUGAUGAUAGUUGCAUUGGUUCAAGAAAGGAACUUUCAGAAGAUUAUUUUUAUGAGCAUUAUAAGAGUAUUUAUUGGCCAUUAAACUUUUUAAAUCAUUAAAAUAGAUAUAUAUCCCCUUUAUCAUAAAAAAUAAGUAUGGAUACCAUAAAAAUCAAGAAAUGUUUCUGUUUUAUUUUAAUUUUAGUAUUUCUUUGAAAUUUCUCAAGGUGAGAAAAACCAGCAGCACAUAGAUGUCAACUCCAAACAAAGGGGAAUUACUGUUGUUUUCUGAGGUUGGCUUUUCCUAGGCAAUAGAGCCCGAGCUUUAGCCUAAUGCUUAGGUAAACUGAGCUUAUGCCCCAAGGGAUGCCGGUUUACUUUGAGAUUCAGCUCUUUCGAAGCCUUUUUUGAAAAAUCCGGAAUGAGCUGGUGGGCCCUGAGACUGAGCUAGUCACUGUUGUCUCCUGCUGCGCUUCCCAUAUCCCUCAAAACCACGGAUUUAUCUUUAAAAGCAUUUCAAGUUAGAACUAUAGUUAGAACUUAUAACUAGAAUGGAGAUCAUGUUGUUUAAACUUUGCUUUUAAGAUUUAGAUUGCAUUUUUAUUCACAUACAUACAGAUAUUUAAAACAGAGCCACUCACAGUGCUAAGUCUGAGCUCACAGGACAGAGAGCCUCCACUAUGAGAACCAGGCUGUUGUUUGGGAUAAGCUAAAGAGUGUUUCAGAUUUGAUAUUGUUUGGAGGUGAGAAUAUUUAUUUUUACACACAUAAUGAAAUGUUUGGGGAACAGCAUGCAAGUCUAAUCAUGAUACCAUACACACACACACACACACACACACACACACACGCGCAUGCGCAAACAUGCAAAUUGACUAAGUAUCCUGGAGGCAUUUUUUAUUAUUUUGUUUUGUGUGUUAUGAAUAUAUGAGUGUGUAUAUGUGUGUGCACGUGUGUUGCAUAUGUAGGGUGCACAUGCAUGUGUGUGUGUGUGUGUGUGUGUGUGUGUGUAUGUGUGUACUCAUGCAUGUGAGCAUGUGCAGAGGCCAGAGUAGGACACUGAGUGUCUUUUGAUGUCACUCUCCACCUGACUGCUUUGAGACAGACUUAUGAUCAUCCUUUUGCCUCUCAGCUAUGGUGAGUGCCCAUAAAUCAAUCAAUCUCUCUCUUUCCCCCUCCUUCCCUCCCUCCCUCCCCCCCCCCUCUCUGUGUGUGUAAUAAGGUACAGAUCUUUGCACACAGGCUGCAAGUCUUAUCCACUGAGCCAGUUUCCGUGUCCAUCUGGAAGUAAUUUUCAUCAGUAUUUUUAAUCUGUCCAUAUUUUAACUACAACUUAUUACAUUAAAUCACAUGUAGAAUUUUGCAUUAUGGGUGUCAUUUUGGCAUUAAGAAAGUUUUACAUUUGGGGACAUUUUAAAUGUCAGAUUUUGGCUUAGAGGAUGUUUAAUAUAUAAUAAAAGGACUUGUUACAGUUGUAGUAGCAGAUCUGCCAGCUAAUACUGUUAAGUGGUUCCAGUGUUAUCAGACGGGGCUAGACACACUAUAGGGCUCACUAUAUUUUUAUUAAAAUCCUCAACAGGUAAAUAUUAUUAUAUCUCAUUUUACAAUGAAUUGAUUGUCCUAGAUCAGACAUAUUGUAAAUAUGAUUCACAUAUGAUUAAACCACUUAGGUUGAACCAAAAGCAAACAAGGAAAUAACUAUAUUUCUUUGUAACUAUAUAACUAUGUUUUAUAACUGUAUAAAAACAGCAUUUUUAAUUCUCUAAUUUAUCACUUAUAUUCAUAAUUUCCUCACAAUAUAGGAAUUAUAUGUGUCCAGACUAUAUGGGCUACUCUGUUUGUAAUUUUCAAGUAAGAGUCAGGGGACACCUACACUGACAGCUGUUGUGUGAAAUAUCCCUUCUCAUGGCCCCCUGUUGCCACACUGGAAUCCCAGACAUACUUAGUACUUGGACAAUGUAGGUCAGUGUGACAAAACAAUACUGACUUAUGCAGGAGACUCAGAAAAGUUGUUUAUGAUUAAGUUGUAUUUUAAAUUGUCAUUGUUGUAGAUCCUUUUCAUGCAUAUUAUAUAGUGAAAACGAAGGCAGGAACCAUAGGCAAAAGGAAUCCAGGAAACAGAAAGCCGUGAUGGGGAAAGAAAGAAGAGAGGGUAAAGGAGACCAUGUGAGAAAAAAGAGGAAAUGGGCAAAGGAGAAAGGCGGAACAGCGAGGAACAGAUCCCUAAGACACCAGUUAUGAGUAUAUUUUAAAAUGGUUUACAUGGUAAAUGAAAAUUAUAACAAAGUGACUGACAGAAAGCAGUGAAGAAAUGGGCAAGACUCGACCUACUCUGGGUCUUCUCAUUGUUACACACUCUUCCUCACUCUGUUCUUAGCAUGGAAUCAAAAAGACUUUUCUGUUUAGCAUGAGUCAUUUUAAAAUAGCAAAAUACUGUGUCCUGUUAGUAUUUCCCUAUCAUUUUUGUUUCUUCUUAAUAUAUAGAAACUAAAAUCUAAGCGUUUUUAAGUUGGCUUAAAUAAUAUUUCUAAGUAGUAUGUUUUAUCUUAACCACAUUCCCCUGAUACACACUGUCCUUUGCAGUGUAAGUAGGGUAUAGCAUUAGGGACUGUGCUUUCUAGGCCAUGGGUGGUGGUUCACCCUAUGAUCCCAGUAUGUUGGGGCUGAAGCAGUAGAUUUUUACAGAGCUCAAGGCUAGUCCAGGUUAUAUUGUGAGACCCUGUAUAAAAGAACAGUACAUUGUUUGUAAUAGAAAAAGUUAGGGGCUGGAGAGAUGGCUCAGUGGUUAAGAGCACCUGACUAUUCUUCCAGAGGUCCUGAGUUCAAUUCCCAGCAACCACAUGGUGGCUCACAACCAUCUGUAAUGAGAUCUGAUGCCCUCUUCUGAUGUAUCUGAAGAUAGCUACAGUGUACUUAUAUAUAAUAAAUGAAUAAAUCUUUAAAAAAAAAGAAAAAGAAAAAGUUAGAAUAAUUUCUAACCUGCCUAUAAGUGCUUUUCUUUUAAAAACAGCCAACUAAUACUUGCCACAUAUUAUACAAGUCCUAACAUCUAGACCUUAUCAUUUGUGUAUAAAUUUAGUAACAAUGUGUAAUAUAACUCAGAUUUAACAAAAUUGAUACCUAAUUUCAUAAAAUUAAAAGCAUGACAAUCUUAUUGACUAUUUUAAAAUUCCACUUAUAUUUCUUUUAAGACAGAAGGAAAUUUGAGUAUAAGUAAAGGUAGUAUGCUUUCAUAAGAUCUACUUAUGCACAACUGAAUAGAUACAUUUAAAAUUAACUUUGAAUUGUCUUGACAUGUGCAAGGAAUGCAAGUGGAAGCAGACAUAAAAUACAGCCCACAUUGAAUCCUCCUGUUAUGGUUUAGCUAUGAAACAUCCAGUCAGCGCGUUCCUGUUGGUCUGACUCCUAGCAGGCGGGCAUGAGACCUGUGAAGUCAUCCACCCAUGGGACAUCCUUUCAUAGCAUUGGCAGGAGGAAGGAGAAACUUCUGCAGAUGUAGGGCUUGUUGAGGGAGACUGUAAGCUGUCAUGUGUCUGCUCUUGGGUACUGUAUCUUUCUCAGGCCUUCUUCCUCAUUCUCUGCUUUUUUGGCUGUGUCUGCUUCACUGCACACUUCACUCAGCCCUCUCCAUUGUGGGCCUCUGUCAUCACUGGCUCAUAGUAGCAUAGCAGGACAGCCAUGGAAUGGUUGAAACUUCUGAAAUGGGAAGCCAGUGUAAAUUCUUCCCCUCUCAGUUGUUUUUCUCAGGAAUUUUCUCAUGAGGAAUGAUGAGUAUUACAUCCCCUUACACAGCCUUAAGAGUUGUCUUCCAUUACUAUCAAGCUGAUACCGAGCUAGCAUUAUCAACCCAUCAUCAACAUCAGAAUGACGGGCUGCAGAUAUAGCUCAGUAGUAGGAUACUCGCUUGGCAUAUGUGAGUCCCUGGUUUAGUGCUCAGUACUACAGAAAAAAAAAAAGACAAGAUAAAAUCAAUAAUUACUACAAACCCUUGCAACUUGGUCCUGAUAAUAAUCACUCAACGUUUGAGAAAUUGAGUGGUGAAUAUAAUGCAAUACAAGGUACUUUAUGAUGGAGAGAUGGAAAAAUUUACCAUGUCAGUUUCAGAAGAUAGAGCAACCUUGUUAUUAAGUUACGGAUGUAAAUAACUAUAAAAAUCCAGUGUAUCAGUGCAAUGUAAUGAUGAUAAAUGAACUAAAACUGCUUCUACAUAUACAACUGCGUUAACAUACUUGAAUACAUGUUUUCUUUUAUUUUGAAGACAGUUAAACGAGUCUCUGGUCUAUUAGCAUAUUGUUUAUAUGAUUACACAGAGAUAAUUAUCAGGAAUAUCCAUAUGCCUGACACUAAAGAAACAGUCUGCCCUUAGUAAUUAUACUCCAUUGUCAUCCAUUCACAAUGAUAUGACAAGAUGAUCAUUCCAUAAUUAUUAAAUAUUUAUAUUAAAUUAUUAGACAUUGUGUUGAACAUUGUGAGGAAAGAAGGAAAAUGUUCAUUGUCUUAUGCACUGUUUAGAGGUGAUAAAUUAUGAUGAUAAUAAUUAGCAUUUAGUUCUUAGUAGACCUAAGAAAGAUAACGUAGAUUUACAGGUGAAUCAUAACAAAGUUUUAUCAAGAAAAAUGAAGCCUAGGUCACUGGAAAAAAUUUCCUGAACAAAACACCAAUGGCUUAUGCUCUAAGAUCAAGAAUCGACAAAUGGGAUCUUAUAAAACUGCAAAGCUUCUGUAAGGCAAAGGACACUGUGGUUAGGACAAAACGGCAACCAACAGAUUGGGAAAAGAUCUUUACCAAUCCUACAACAGAUAGAGGCCUUAUAUCCAAAAUAUACAAAGAACUCAAGAAGUUAGACCGCAGGGAAACAAAUAACCCUAUUAAAAAAUGGGGUUCAGAGCUAAACAAAGAAUUCACAGCUGAGGAAUGCCGAAUGGCUGAGAAACACCUAAAGAAAUGUUCAACAUCUUUAGUCAUAAGGGAAAUGCAAAUCAAAACAACCCUGAGAUUUCACCUCACACCAGUGCGAUUGGCUAAGAUCAAAAACUCAGGUGACAGCAGAUGCUGGCGAGGAUGUGGAGAAAGAGGAACACUCCUCCAUUGUUGGUGGGAUUGCAGACUGGUAAAACCAUUCUGGAAAUCAGUCUGGAGGUUCCUCAGAAAAUUGGACAUUGAACUGCCUGAGGAUCCAGCUAUACCUCUCUUGGGCAUAUACCCAAAAGAUGCCUCAACAUAUAAAAGAGACACGUGCUCCACUAUGUUCAUCGCAGCCUUAUUUAUAAUAGCCAGAAACUGGAAAGAACCCAGAUGCCCUUCAACAGAGGAAUGGAUACAGAAAAUGUGGUACAUCUACACAAUGGAAUAUUACUCAGCUAUCAAAAACAACGAGUUUAUGAAAUUUGUAGGCAAAUGGUUGGAACUGGAAAAUAUCAUCCUGAGUGAGCUAACCCAAUCACAGAAAGACAUACAUGGUAUGCACUCAUUGAUAAGUGGCUAUUAGCCCAAAUGCUUGAAUUACCCUAGAUCCCUAGAACAAACGAAACUCAAGACGGAUGAUCAAAAUGUGAAUGCUUCACUCCUUCUUUAAAUGAGGAAAAAGAAUACCCUUGGCAGGGAAGGGAGAGGCAAAGAUUAAAACAGAGACUGAAGGAACACCCAUUCAGAGCCUGCCCCACAUGUGGCCCAUACAUAUACAGCCACCCAAUUAGACAAGAUGGAUGAAGCAAAGAAGUGCAGACCGACAGGAGCCGGAUGUAGAUCGCUCCUGAGAGACACAGCCAGAAUACAGCAAAUAUAGAAGCGAAUGCCAGCAGCAAACCACUGAACUGAGAAUAGGUCCCCUAUUGAAGGAAUCAGAGAAAGAACUGGAAGAGCUUGAAGGGGCUCGAGACCCCAAAAGUACAACAAUGCCAAGCAACCAGAGCUUCCAGGGACUAAGCCACUACCUAAAGACUAUACAUGGACUGACCCUGGACUCUGACCCCAUAGGUAGCAAUGAAUAUCCUAGUAAGAGCACCAGUGGAAGGGGAAGCCCUGGGUCCUGCUAAGACUGAACCCCCAGUGAACUAGUCUAUGGGGGGAAGGCGGCAAUGGGGGGAGGGUUGGGAGGGGAACACCCAUAAGGAAGGGGAGGGGGGAGGGGGAUGUUUGCCCGGAAACCGGGAAAGGGAAUAACACUCGAAAUGUAUAUAAGAAAUACUCAAGUUAAUAAAAAAAAAAAAUUAAAAAAAAAAAAGAAAAAUGAAGCCUAGGUAAGAUUUCAAAGGAUAAGUUGCAAGUAGAAAUAGGAUUUAAUUAUUAGAAAAAAAAUCAAACAUUUCCAGAGCCAUAUGAUAGAUAAAGGGCCAGACUGAUUUAAAGAGAAAUAGGUGUGAGCAUGACUUUAGUGUAUAUUCAGAGAAUUAAAGUAAAUAAUCAUGAAUCUGACAGGUUAAAAAACCCUUCAUAUUUCUUCAUGAAAAGUAUUAGGAAACAAAUAUUUUUGAGAGAUCACUGGAUAAAUACAAUACCUGGAGACUAAUGGUUUGGCAACAAGAACAAAACAAAGGAGUCAGCGGUGUUGUCAGAGACAGGAAGCAGUCAGACAUCAGUGUUCUGGGGGAGAAGAGCAGAAAACUCAGCAGGAAUAGAGUCAUGAAUCAUCAAGGGUUUUCUCUGAUGACUUUGACAAGUUGAUUGAUGUUUGUUAUCUUUAAGACAUUUAAGUUCAAACUGUCAGAAAAAAGUAAAAAUGUCUAAAUGUACACACUAGGGAAGCAAGGGACUGUUUUGGGUGACACCCUGUCCUAGUUGACUAGGACAGACUUGUAUUGCUGUGAUGAAACUCCACGACCAAAGCAAGCUGGGAAAGAGCUUGUUUGACUUAUGAUUUCAAAUCACCAUUCAUCACUGAAGGAAGUUAAGACAGGAACUCAACAGGGCAGGGUCUUGGAGGUGGAAGCUGGUGCAGAUACCUUGAAGGGGUGCUUACUGGCUUGUUCCAGACGGCUUGCUCAGCCUGCUUUCUUAGAGAACUCUGGACCACUGGCCCAGGGAUGGCAACACCUUCAACGGGCUGGGUUCUACCCCAUCAAUCACUGAUUUAAAAAUGCUCUGCAGGCUCACCUAUAGUCUGAUUUUAUAGGGGCAUUUUCCCAACUGAGCCUCCCUCCUUACCAAUGACUUGUAUCAAGUUGAUAUAAAACUAACUAGCACACGUCCCAAAAAUAUAAAAUGAGGAAAAAGAAAAAUUGUUAGCAGAGUGGAAAUUCCAUGCAUCAAGAAACAAGAAUGGAGUUAGCAGAGGAAAGGUGGACUUCGUGUUAAGAAGGAGCAGAUUCCAUUCAGGAUAGUUCAGACUUCUACAUUUCAGUUUAGCUGUUUCUCUCCUCACCCACUGUGGAGCAGGUGUGGGGAUAUUCUGGGUCUGAAAGCUGUGCUUUCUGUGGUGUCAGAUGGCUGACAGUGAGAAAAAGCACUGGCCCCUCAGCACAUGCACACAUUACAUAAUGCAGUGAAAGCUUUCACAGCAGGGAACAGAAGCUGUCAGAUAGCCCCGAGACACUACCUGGUGGAUGGAGACCUUUGCCAGUUUCUGUUCAGACCACUGCCAACAACAAUUUUCAAAUUAAUUAAAACAUAUGGCCAUUAAAUUCAUAUUAAACAUGCUCUACAAAUUUACCUCUUUUGCACGAAGACAUUGAAAAUAUAAUUUUAAAUUUUCAGAGACACCUUCUCUUAAUUUCUGAUUGUUUUCACCUUGCCUUGUGUUGUGGGGCAGACUUUUCCUGUGGAGAGACACAGCACAUGUCUGCUCAUCCCAGAUAGGGAUCCCACAAGAGACAAAAGUACAGAUACCACCAACAAAGAUCAAGUUGGUGAAGCAGUGAGGUUUGAGGGGUUACUUAAAGAGGACAGAAAUAACUCAAAGAAUCGAAUCACCAAGGCCCCCAUGAGCGUGGCUGACAGCUCACAGUUGGGGACCUGGGGCACACUGUAAGAGUAAAUGCCCAGCACACUGGGGAGCUCCCAGUUCCUGGGAGCACCUUUCAGGCAACUCACUGGUCAGUUUCCUCCAGGCAGUUCAGAAUGCCCCUGCCUCUGUUUCUUCUAGCCUGCUGGGCUUGGAGUGGGAGUGGCAGAGAGGGAUAAAUCUCAGAAAUCUUUUCUUUUUAUAUACUCAUGAGAAUGGAGAGGCCUGGUGAAUCUGGUCGGUUUUAGAGACUUCCGGAAAUUGCUUUGAGUUCACUUUCUCUCUUAAUGAACUUCCUGCAGGAUGGAAUCUCUCAAUCUGGGAGGAAAGAACUACUCAAUCAGUUCAGUGGCCAGUUAGCCCUUCAGCUUUUUAAAAGGAAUUAAUGUUUUAUAAGUGAUGUUUAAUGUAUUAUUAAAGCAUACUAUUUCAUAGGGCUUACAGAAAGCUCCAUGAAACCAAAAAUAUUCUUUUGUUUUUCCCUUAAAAUUUUUAUAUUGCAAUGAGGGUUGCUUUAAAAAAAUAUGGGAAAUGCGCCUUUUCUGUAGGUUUAAAUCCCACAUGUUUCAUGAGUUAAUAGCAUGAUGUAAGAUAUUAAAACAGAAUUGUAGAAAUUUACUACCAUUAAAUAUGUAUAGGCACUCCAUGAAAAACACAAAUUGAAGUUGAUGGAUUACUAAAUAAACAGAGGACAGGAAGUAACCAAGGUAGGAUGGCAGGGUAUAUUUGGGAGGACUUGUAGCCAAAUAUGACCAAAGUACGUUGUAAGAAAUUCUCAGUAAAUUAAUAAAAUAUUUUAAAAACUUAAUAGAUUUUAUUUAACUCUACAAGUUUUAGAUGGGAUCUAGCUUUAGGAGAAACAAACUGAGAUACUGUAGAGGACAGAAGUGGAGGGCUGUGACAAAUGUAUUUUGUUUAAGCCUGUGGGCCUUACCAGGUCACCCCGACUCAGUGAGAUGGGCAGCAGUGGGUCAGAUGCAAGCUGGCCCUCCAUGUCAGUGUCAGUGUGAGCUUCAAGUACUGAAGUGGAGUUUAGGAAAGAAGAGUAUUUUUGUGUCUAGUCUCCCAACUCUGUAAUUGGAUUUCUGUACUAUGCUGUACUUUGUUUAUGUGAGUUAUGGAACUCCUAGUAGAUUAUAUAAAAUUAUUGAAAAUAUUUUUUUUCGUGCAAUAUAUUUGGUUAUGGUUUCUCUUCCCCAACUCUUCCCCACUGCCCAAAUACACACCCUUUAUUGUUCUCUCUCUCAUUAGGAAAUAAACAGGCAAAUAAAUAAACGUAAUAAGAGCAAACUCUGGUACAUUGUCUUUAAUGGCUUGGUGCGUUUCAGGCUGAGGACACUUCCUUGUGUAUAGAUCUGUCAGUGCCACGGUACUAAUGAAGGAAAUCUUUUUCUCUAGGGUUCAUCCCUAGAAAUCCCAUGUGCAUAUGAGGGGAAGAUGCUCUGUUAGUGUGAGGCAAGGACACACAGUGACACAUAUGCUAGCAACAAAUGCUGGUUCUAUGGUUCUCAUUUACUGAUUUCACUAUUAUCCCAGCAUAUUAUUAAACAUAGUAAAGAUAAUGUUUAUAUAGAAUUAUGCUCAUUGUGAUGGUCUUUAAAAUACUAAAUACCUGAGAUUUAAAGAAAAAGACAAGAAACAAAAUGUAUACUAUGUCUUAUAUGUAUAGAACCAAUUAAUCAAAAAGGAAAUGCAGUUCAUUCCUCUGAUUCUUCUAAGUAUGCUAAUGGCUUGUUACCUGAUAUACUAGUGUUAGUCACAAUUUAAAGUCUUAUCGUCUGUGUCUUUAAAUUGCAGAAAAAGGGAAACGUGGAUGAGAUAGAUAGUAAUUGGAAUAAGAUUCCCACAGACCAGAGAUUCAAAGCUGGGAGUAAAGCAUGAGCAAAUGAUCCCAGAGCAUGUCCUUGAUAAGACAGGCCCUGGAUUCCAGUGUUCAGAGCACACAGAUGGAUCCCGGGCUUGAGCUGACAUCGAGUGAGUGUAAAAUCAAGAGAUUCAUCUAAAUGAUCUGAAAUGUCACUCUUAGCUCUAAAUAUCUGCUGCUUUGUACCUUAUACUUUUAUGGCAGUUGUUCUGUUUAAGCAAAAACCUGAUGAGUGAAGAGGCAGCAGCAGUCAGAAGAACAGGAGUAAGUCUCCCUGCAGCGAGAGGACCACCAUAAAUAUUUUUUAAGUAUAUGGAAAUGUGAUUUUUAUAACGGGAACUAUAAAUGUACCAUUUAUUUUCUAGCAAAUAACUUCAUCUCCUCUCAGUUUGUUCCUGUUUCCUUACUCUCUGUUGUAUUUCUGUUGGUAAACUUAGUUGGCCAUAGUCUAUCAAGAAGUUGUUUUACAGAAGUAGUCACUAAGAGUGGAUUCCACAACUCUGCAUUUUGCUUGGUUGUUGUUUUCUAUAGUGGUCUCUGUUGCAGUGAUGUUUCUUGAGAAGGAACGAGAACUAUACUAAUCUUUAGGUAUAAGGGCAAAUAGUUAUAGUUAUUAUUGAUUAUGCUAGUUUAGUAACGUGGUGGUUGUAGGUUCCUUUGGAAGAUCCACUACAUCACUAGCCCUAGGCAGCUGGUUAGACUUCCAGUACAGAUGUUUUCUGUCUUGGUGUAUGGGGCUUAAUCCAAUUAGAGCUCUGUUGAUUACCACCAAGGUAUAUGUGCCACUGCCAUACCCUUAGGGUUAUCCUGCUAUCCUGGUGUUUGCGGUUCAUAGGCACGAUAGCCAGUAGGACUUUUGGUCAUUUUCCUCCUUUGGAGGAAGCAUUUAAGUCCGUUCUAGCCACAGGAGACUGAACACUGAAUCUGAAGUGCAUACUGUCUUUAGCAAUGGAGACCUACCUUCCACCUCUGAAGGGUAGUGGCAAUAGUCAAUAAUGUUUUAAGGGUCUUUUGGACAACCCCAAUGAGCAGUUUAGAAGAGGGCUUCUCAUUGCUUGUUUUGAGGGUUUUGUUAAUGGUCUUUGAUCUUGGAGGUGGCAUUAUCAGCAUAGACAGGAAGUUUUCAUUAAAAAGAAAAUUAAUUGAAGUUUCUAUUGCUGCAAUGAAACAUUGACCAAAAGCAAGUCGGGAAGGAAAUGGUUUGCUUGGCUCACACUUCCACAUCAUGGUUCAUCACUGAAGGAAGUCAGGAGAGGAACUGAAACAGGGCAGGAACCUGGGGGCAGGAGCUGAUGCAGGUGCUAUGGAAAGAGUGCUUUACAUGGCUUGCUCAGCCUGCUUUCUUAUAGAACCCAGGACCACCUGCCCAGGGAUAGCACUGCCCACCAUGGCUGGGCCAUCCUCCCCUAAUCACUAAUUGAGAAGACACCACAACUAGUUCUUAUAAGGGAGUUUUUUUUCUCAAUUGAAGUUUCCUUCUUUUAAAUAACUCUAACUGUGUCAGAUUGACAUAAAGGUAGUGCACGCACACACACACACACACACACAUGCACACACGCACGCACACACGCACGCACACACGCACGCACACACGCACGCACACACACGCGCACAUACACACACACACACAUACACACACACACACACGCCCGCACACACACACACGCUUUACGUUUCUGAUCCCUGAGGUGUUCCAGGGUCUGUACUAACAUCUGGCUCUUGGCUGUCUCUUCAGGUUUAGGUUGCCUCACUUACUCUAAUUUUUUCUGGUUCUAUCAAUUUUUCCCGUAGAACUAAUAAUUUUAUCUCAUUUGCAUUCUGUCUCAUAUGUGUACCACCAUUUGGCUCACACUUUGUGUAUCACUUGGAGGAUAUUUAUGUUUUUCCGUUUCCUGGGUCGUAUGAGCAGAGCGGCACUGACCAUGGCUGAGCAAGUGUCUGCAAUAGGACAUGGAAGCCUUGGGGUAGCCAAGGAGUGGGUAGCAGGGCCAUGCAGUACACUUACUUCUCGGCUUUGGGAAUUCUGUUUACUGAUUCCCAGAGUGGCCAACCCGUUUACAGUUCUACCAACAGUGAGUGAGGGUUCCUUUCCCCUUGCAGCUCCUCCAGCACUGGUUGUUAAUUUUGUUAAGUUUUGCCAUCCUGACUGAUAAAAAUCUCAAAAUUGUUAGGUUUACAUUUUUUUAAAUUGCGAUGGGCUGUGAACAUUUUUGGAAAUAUUUCUUAGCUGUUGUCUCCUUCCCUCCUCCCCUCCCUCCUUCCUUUCUUCUUUUUGUUCUUUCAUUCUUUCUUUCUGUGUUUGACUGUGUUUUUGCACUCCUGCACUUAGGCAGGCCUACCCCCUCAACCCCUACCACCAGGGUCAGCUCUGUCUAAUGUGUUGCCCAAGGGUAAUACAAGGUCACCCUGAAAGCUGCAGCUGGCCAGCCCCAGGCAGCAGCCCAGACCAGGGUUGUACGCAUGGCUUUUGGUGGUAAAAGGGACCACAGACAUCUCCACAGACCCCUGCUACUGCAGAGUCUCCAUCCCAGACAUGGCCCUCAGUGGCAACACUGGCUGGGACAUCACUGUGGCCUCAGGUGGCAGUGCAGGCUACUGGCACCAGGCAGUUCCUCUUCACUGUCAGUCUUCAGAGCUGCCUCUCUUCGUAGUGUCACACUGUUCCACGUCUCUCUGUCACGUAUCUGUUCAUUGUAGUGCUCUGGCACAUGCUAUAUCAGCAGUGACAUCUUCUGAAUGGUAGGAUGGUUAAAUGUUUGUCUGCCCAAAGAUUCCAAGGGAAAUAGUGCCUGGCCAACGUUGAACACAGCACAGGAAACUGUCAUCAACAGAGUUGUCCAGCCUCCUGGUUCAACCUCCACCAGCCAACUACAGAGACGAGCAAAGGCCAGUGGCGAGAAGCAAGCACAGCAGGACAUGUCCAUCAGCCGUGCUCUGCACUCUGCAAGACCACGUCCUGGGCUGGGAUGCAGCUCUGGGAGUCACAGUGACUGACGUGAUGGUUGGUUUUUCUCAAAGGAAGAAGGCGUAGGCCGCUGGCACAUCGUCUGGUACGGGCUCCACUGAGGGACAUAUAGUUCGCCAUUUCCCAAGGAGUAAGAACUAUAGUAGCCCUGUACCACACAGGCCUGCAGUGUUGGCUCAGUGCUUCCUGGUAUGCCCAGGUCUAUUUGCAAAUUUUUUACAUUUAUUGAUUUGCUUAUAUUGAACCAUCCCUUUAUUUCAGGGAUAAAAGUCACUUGGUCAUGUUUUAUAUCCUUUUGGAUACAUAUCUGUAUUCUGCUUACAAGUGUUUUAUUAAGCAUAUUAGAGUCUAUGUUCUUCGGGUCCAUUGGCAUGCAGUGUUCUUUUCUGUUGUUGGCUGUGUAAACUAUCUUUUGUGACACGGUGGACCUGUGGGGAGUGGGAAAGAGGCUCUCUCCUCCUCUCCUCCUCUGUGAACCUGUUAGGUCUGGUUGCUGAGUCAGAGAUGACGGACGGGAUAACACUUGUGUAUACAUCCUUGCCCUGGACUCCUGACGUAUUCGUUAUGUGUCUCAGGCUUUGGAGGUGGUGUUGUCUUCUUAGAGUGCUAUUCUAGACAUGCUAGAAAUGACAUAAGACAUUAAAAGUCAUCUGUGAUAUUUAUAACUCUGCCUUUGUAGCAAGGGAAGGCAGGGCUUUAGCUCUGAAAAGAAUGAUUUUCACUCAUACCUUGAAUAAUUUUUGCAUUUCUUUUCAGCAAAGGACACUGCUCCUGUGGCUCUUGCAAAGCCUUUACUAUGUUGUAUAGCGGUGGGCAGUGUCUUUGCUGCUGGCCUGCUCUGGCUGAUUUGUAAAUCUAGUGUAAAUAAGCUACCUUCGUAAUCGCCAUUUAAAUCUCCCUCUGGAUUAUCUGUGCAGCCGUAAUGUUUACUGACAUGCCUUCCUGUGAUGUGGUUCUUAAUUGGGAAGCACAUCUUAUAAGAGAAUUAUAGCCUCUGAAUAGGAUAACUCCUGUGGUUUGAGGGUUCCACAAAGGAAUUCAUUGGCAUUAGCAACCCAAACAGAUUUAUUUCCUAACACUUGUCCCAGAGGCUCUAAACUAUUGCUAUAAAACCUAGAAGAGGCCUGCAGGAAGUACAUUCUGAAGUUACCCAGAUUUAUUUCUGGGUUAAUUGGUUAUUCUGUAUUUUUCUAGAAAGCCAUGAAUUAUGUUCUUUAGAAUAUAGAUGUGCAGUUAGUCACCAGACCUAUAUAGAAUACAGAAUAGUAUAGAUGGAGGCGGACGUAAUAGAACAGGCUACUCUCUUCAUUCUGCUUAGUGUGGCAUUGUAUUUAGAGACUCAGUUGGUAAAGUGUUGGUAAAACUUAAGAAUAGAGGCCUAAGUCCAUAUAGUGACAUCAUCAUCACCACCCAAAUGAAUGCUGGGAGUGGGGGCUUUUGCACAUCUGCAGCCCCAGGGCUAGGGUUGUGAGGUGGGAGCCAAAGACACAUGGGUCCUCAGAGUUAACUCAGGAGCUGAUCUAGUCACCCUCUCUCAAAAACAAAGGUAGACACUGACGGAGGAAGACACCCAGUAUUGACAUCAUACAUACACACACAUACACAACACACAAAAAUAAUAACAUAACUAAUCAGCUUCUUGGCGAUAUAGAAGCUAGAAAACAUGGCAAAACAUAGCAGUGUACCUCGCAGUGGGUGGCUUGUCAUGGCCAGCAGCUGACAGCUGCAUCUGUUUCCCACUAGGGACCUUCCCCGUAUAGUCGUGCCUCACUCGCACUAAGUCAUUUGCAGUUCCUAGAGGCUUCUGGGAGGGAAGGCGCUAGAACAAUGAGAAGCACGAUAUUCAUGGGAUUUCCAACAGGUCACAUCAGAACACACCCAUUUCUUCUGAGAAUAUUUAAUAAUUAGAAAUGUUAGACACCAAUAAAGCCAAUUUGUAUUUAAAAUAAAAAUUAAAACAUGUAUAAUGUAAAUCCAGACAACAGUCUUUUGGAAGACUAUAACUGGAGAUUUUAGGAAAUUUAAUAUAAUUCACUACUGUAAGAAAAACUACGUUCAUAGUUAUUUUGAUUUUCUCAUGGACAGGACUUUGGAGGAAAAUGUUGACUACUCUAGGUGCAUUAGAGGGCUAAAAGUACAUUUUGACAUUUGUAUCUGCACCUUUAGUGACCUGCUAUAGUCGAAAGAAGGAAAGAGAGAGAGUGAGACAGAGACGGGGAGAGAGAGGGAGGGAGGGAGGGAGGGAGGGAGGGAGAGAGAGAGAGAGAGAGAGAGAGAGAGAGAGAGAGAGAGAGAGAGAGAGAACGAACAGUGGGAUUAACAAUAUUUAGAAUGUGGAAACUGCUACAGCAAAGCCUGAGUUGUGGGUUCCUGGCAGAAACUAAGGGAAGGUUUUAAUCUGUCCUAGGAAUAACUGAGCAGUCAUCAGGAAAAGAAAAGUGCCACACAAAAGUGAAGUAAAGGCUGCUCUACAAAGUAAACUUACAAGACAAGGCCCCAGUGUAUUCUGCACAUGUACAGUACAUAUAAGCUCUGACGUUUCCACUAUCUAGGAAGUAUGUUGAAUACUUAGGAAUUUAAGGAAUUGUAUGUUACAGUGAAGUCAAGGAAAAAAAAAAAAAAGACCAGAAAUAGCCUUUGAUUGUGCUGCACAGUACCAGGUACAGGUUCUCAGUGGCUAUGGGCAGGGCUUUGGGCAGGCUCAGUUGAAUGCAGAAAAACAUUCAAAUAUAGAUUGGAUGGCAUGUGGUAGUGGUGGCACUGGAGUGGCUUUGACCAAAAUUAAUUAAUUAAAAUUAAUUCUGUGCUUGAAAUCUUUCCCUGACAAUUCUGUUUUGAGUGUCUUUAACAACAAUGUAACGUUUCCAGACCACUUCUCUGGGUGACUCUUCAUGAGUGUAACCGAGCUUGUAGAGUGGACUCAGGCCAGCUCAUCUGCUUCAGCAGACAGAUACCCUGUCGGGGGGAGGGUUGCCGUGCACACUGAGCAGCCAUCCACACAGUAGCCUGGUGGUCUGUGGCCUGCGAGUACAGCGCUUCUAUCUAGACUGGACUGUGGCGUGGGGUUGCUUAUCUCUCACUUCUUGCAUUGCUGAUGAAAUGACUGAAAAAUUAAAUGAUAAACAUUGCCCACAGUCAAUAGGAAAUGUUUCUUUUCUUUCUUUCUUUUUUUCUUUCUUUCUUUUUUUUUCUGCUUGAAUUUCUUUGUGAGAAUCUUACUAUAUAAUCCAGACUAAUCUCAAACCCUUGAUCCCCUUGUAUGUUUUCCAAGUUCUGGGAUUAUAGCCCAGCUUAAAGUUAUAGCCUGUGUCAUAUUAUGAGACUUUGUCUCAAAACAAACAAACACACACCAAAGGAGCACUUCUUCUAAGGAAAGAUCUGUAAUCACGUGAUUUCACCUACCUCAGCUCUUUAAUUCCAAGGACUUUGACACUGCUCAUGUUCUUGGUCAUCCAGAGCUAAUUGAGACAUUUGCUUACUUUGUAAUUUUUAACACCUACAGCAAUAUUAGAAGGAGCCGUAAGGACUUCCCUCUUCUUCCUAUCUGUGUGAGAGAGGGGUGUGUGUGCGCGCGUGUAUGUGUGUGUGUGUGUGUGUGUGUGUGUGUGUACACAUCUUAUGUUUUAACUUCUCCAAAAUUCUAUAGGAAUUUUUCAUAAUUUUUUAUGAAAACUGAAGUUUAUUUCAUACACAUUGAAAAGAAGAAAGUUAUUUUGUAUCCCCUUGAUAUGUAAGUAGCACAUCAAUUAAGUAUACCAUUUUAUUAAGUUAUCUAUUCAAAAUGAUGUUUUAACUUUUAAAAUAUAUUUUAUCUUAUGUAUAUUAAUGUUUACAUAAACAUGUAUGUAUACCACAUGUGUGCCUGUUGCUUUCGGAGGACAGAAGAGUGUGGUGCGUCCUCUGGAGCCACUGUGUGUGUGCAGAGAACUGAGCCCAGGUCAUAUGGAAGAGUAGCAACUGCUCCUAACCUCUGCUAUGUUUCUGUCUCUUAAGAUGAUAUUUUAAUAAAUAUUUUAUCACAUUUAAGUCACUAUAGCUUUAUGUUUAAGUACGGCUUGAGAUUUGCCAGCCAAGGGUGAUAUAAUUUAAUUAAUUCUGAAGACUGAGGCUUGUUCUCCUAACCCAUUUUAUCCUGUGAUGAUCAUUACCAUAACAAGAUUUAAUUUGGUGUCACUUUGAAUUCAGGCAAUGAUAUCAAACUGUUCAAUGGAAUUCUCUGGUGACUGGGACCACUCAGCAACAGCUGUUACACUACCUGCAAGAGGAGUCUGCCAGCGUGUUAGCAAAGGCAGCCCGAUGUGCCAUUCAAGUUCUCACAGAUUAGUUCCCGCCUGUCCUCAGCACAGGCUGCACACCGCUGUGAUGGGGUGAUUACAGGACUCUUCUGAGGCAAUUCCAUGGAACAAAGUGGAUUUGGCAUGGAGAACUAGGAUAGGAGAAAAUCAUUCAUCUGGUUUUUCUGCUUUGCAAUGUCAGGCCAGUUUAGGGGCCUUCUCAUGCUAUUAGUAUUCAUACUGUGUGUGUGUGUGUGUGUGUGUGUGUGUGUGUGUGUGUGUGUGUGUGUGUGUGUGUAUGUGCGUGUGUGUGUGUGUAAGAGCACACACAUAAACAUAUACUCUUGUGUAAAUUAUAUUUUAAAAAAUUAGUUAACUGACUUUUCAUCCCCUGUACCUAGUCUAUCUUUGUCUACCUUUGUUAAAGUAUUUCAUUAGCCCAAAAGAAAAUUAAAUUUAAAAAUAAUAUUUAAGGACUAGGAAGAUGGAUUGGCAGUUAGAGAGUUGUGUCAGGUACACUUUAUCUCUCAGCAGUCACACGCAAAGACAGAGGAACACAGAGAACUCUGGGCCAAGAGGGGACAUCACCUCUGAGUUUAAUGAAAGGUCCCUUUCAAUCUCAUAAAACUGCAAAGCUUCUGUAAGGCAAAGGACACUGUGGUUAGGACAAAACGGCAACCAACAGAUUGGGAAAAGAUCUUUACCAAUCCUACAACAGAUAGAGGCCUUAUAUCCAAAAUAUACAAAGAACUCAAGAAGUUAGACCGCAGGGAAACAAAUAACCCUAUUAAAAAUGGGGUUCAGAGCUAAACAAAGAAUUCACAGCUGAGGAAUGCCGAAUGGCUGAGAAACACCUAAAGAAAUGUUCAACAUCUUUAGUCAUAAGGGAAAUGCAAAUCAAAACAACCCUGAGAUUUCACCUCACACCAGUGAGAAUGGCUAAGAUCAAAAACUCAGGUGACAGCAGAUGCUGGCGAGGAUGUGGAGAAAGAGGAACACUCCUCCAUUGUUGGUGGGAUUGCAGACUGGUAAAACCAUUCUGGAAAUCAGUCUGGAGGUUCCUCAGAAAAUUGGACAUUGAACUGCCUGAGGAUCCAGCUAUACCUCUCUUGGGCAUAUACCCAAAAGAUGCCUCAACAUAUAAAAGAGACACGUGCUCCACUAUGUUCAUUGCAGCCUUAUUUAUAAUAGCCAGAAACUGGAAAGAACCCAGAUGCCCUUCAACAGAGGAAUGGAUACAGAAAAUGUGGUACAUCUACACAAUGGAAUAUUACUCAGCUAUCAAAAACAACGAGUUUAUGAAAUUUGUAGGCAAAUGGUUGGAACUGGAAAAUAUCAUCCUGAGUGAGCUAACCCAAUCACAGAAAAACACACAUGGUAUGCACUCAUUGAUAAGUGGCUAUUAGCCCAAAUGCUUGAAUUACCCUAGAUCCCUAGAACAAACGAAACUCAAGACGGAUGAUCAAAAUGUGAAUGCUUCACUCCUUCUUUAAAUGAGGAAAAAGAAUACCCUUGGCAGGGAAGGGAGAGGCAAAGAUUAAAACAGAGACAGAAGGAACACCCAUUCAGAGCCUGCCCCACAUGUGGCCCAUACAUAUACAGCCACCCAAUUAGACAAGAUGGAUGAAGCAAAGAAGUGCAGACCGACAGGAGCCGGAUGUAGAUCGCUCCUGAGAGACACAGCCAGAAUACAGCAAAUACAGAGGCGAAUGCCAGCAGCAAACCACUGAACUGAGAAUAGGACCCCCGUUGAAGGAAUCAGAGAAAGAACUGGAAGAGCUUGAAGGGGCUCGAGACCCCAUAUGUACAACAAUGCCAAGCAACCAGAGCUUCCAGGGACUAAGCCACUACCUAAAGACUAUACAUGGACUGGCCCUGGACUCUGACCUCAUAGGUAGCAAUGAAUAUCCUAGUAAGAGCACCAGUGGAAGGGGAAGCCCUGGGUCCUGCUAAGACUGAACCCCCAGUGAACUAGACUGUUGGGGGGAAGGCGGCAAUGGGGGGAGGGUUGGGAGGGGAACACCGAUAAGAGGGGGUCGGGGAUGUUUGCCCGGAAACCGGGAAAGGGAAUAACACUCGAAAUGUAUAUAAGAAAUACUCAAGUUAAUAAAAAAAAAAUAAAAAAAAGAAAAAAAGAAAAAAAAAUGAAAGGUCCCUUUCUCAAAACUGUUCUCUAUCAUGCCUAUAGGGCAUGCUGUGAGAACUCAUAGAAAUGUAAUAUAAAAUAGUGAAAUAUUGUCAUUCAAAAACAAAAAUUAAAGUUUUAAAACGCAUCCAUUCCUUCUUAUCUCAGGAAAUACAUUGGGCAGUAUUAAAAAGAGCUGGUGUCCUUACAGCAUUUUCGUUCUUUUUUCUGAAAACCCAUCAAGUCCAUCCCUCGCUCUGUCUUCUCACAUCCAGAAGUCACUGAGACGUUAGUACUGAAUAGGCCCUGAGAUGCUCCUUCCCCCGAGCCCUCCCGUCCCUCUCUGGUCUCCCCUCCCGUCCCUCUCUGGUCUCCCCUCCAGUCCCUCUCUGGUCUCCCCUCCCGUCCCUCUCUGGUCUCCCCUCCCGUCCCUCUCUGGUCUCCCCUCCCGUCCCUCUCUGGUCUCCUCUCCCGUCCCUCUCUGGUCUUCUCUCCUGUGCUCUGCAUUGAUUCCCUGUCAUUUGGGUGUGGCAUGUUCAUGUGCAUGAUUAUCAGUCCAAGCCUAGCAUAGACUCUUCUAAGGUAGGUCUCCUGUGAUGUUUACACAAGAUAAAUGUGGAUUUGUUGUUUCGAAAAAAAAUUUUGCUUGUCACAUGAAUAAAACUGAAUUUAUAAAAUGAUUUGAUUAUCCUGAGCUGGUCUCAGACUCACUGUGAGCUGAGGAUGUCCUUGAGUAAAGCAAACGUUUUAAAUAUUUACAUAUUUAUAAUUAUACAGAUUAAUGAUUGACUUUUAGAAAUUUAGUUUACAUAACUUUAUAAUGGUAGUUAUGUUUGUGAUAGGCAGCUGUUUCACUUCAUCUAAUCUUCUAUCUGAAGAGUAGCAUGUAUGUCCCAAAUAAACUGUGGGACACAGUACAUUACCUUCUUCCCAUAAGAAUAAAUGUAGAAUCUGAAUAUCGUAUGUGACCUAGAUCAGCAUCAUAAAAGUCAGUGUUCUUUAGCACAGUUAUUGUCUCAGUCUGAACUAGAGUUACACGGAUAGGAAGGUGUCGUCAGCAAACCCCACAAGUUCUACCUGUGGGUUAUAAUUGUCGCUUGUACUCAUAUAUUGUGGGAUUAAAGCACUUUCUUUUCCAUGUGGUCAGUUAUUCCACCUCACUGCCGGAGUGUGAGAAUACUCUUGGGCAGGUGAAAUGGGAGGUGCUCACUGGGGUGCCUGCUUGGCUGUUCUGUCUUGCCGCCGGGGUGUGGGACUCAUCUGGACAGAUUAAACGCUGAACUAGACUAUGUUUUACCCUACGGCUGGGCUUGUGGGGACCACUGAUGGCACUCAGGAGUGGGAGAACACAACCUUGGGUGGGGGCAUCAGCCAGAGUAAGAAAUGACAUAGUCUGAGGCCAAAGCUGGGGUUCCCUGACUCCUGGGCGUCCAGUCACCUUUGAGGAAGAGCCUGGGGUGGGUUUGGGGGGUGUCCCCAAACUCCUGGACAUCCAGACUGCACCAGAAGUUGCAGGGAGCUGGGAAUGGAAGGGACCCACAUGCUGACGACAGUGAGCCCGGGCCAGGGUAGCUCAGUGGUAGUGAGUCCAGGAGGGCAGACUGCAAAUGUCUCCUGUGGGAGACUUAAGCAGCACAACUCUGUAGACGAAGGCUUUCUCCAUGCUCCCUGUGGCAGUUCUUGAUGAGAGAGACAGUCCUUGGUUCUAAACUGUUUAUUGACUGUUCAUUGUGGCAAAUGGGUGCAUAGCAUAACCUCCUCAGGGUGGACCAGAGAGUAAACACCUUUUGCAGGAAGGAGUGUCUGGGAAGGGAAGCUUAUUGGCUAAAGCCUCGGUCUCUAGAUCUCUCAUUGGCAUGGAGAACCUGUUCUGGACUGUAUGACCAUUGUCUCACCCCUUUAUGGAGAACGUGGUCACAUGUUCUGGGCCGGGAAUCUUGGUAGGGAGCAAGGAGAGGCCUACUCUCCAGGUGAGUGCCUAGGUAGCAGGGUCUCUGAACCCGCUCAACCUUAUCAAAGGUUCCACUACCCCACAACCGUGGCUGUCCUCGGGAUUUCAUUUCCUCCUUUGACUUUUCUCUACUAAGUGAUCCAUGAAAUGAAAAUAUUAUUCUGAACUUAAUUAUAGUAUGAAUGGGAGUUUAGCUUUCUUUAUAACCUGAUUAAGAAGGAUAUUGACUAUAGUAGCUAGAAACUUCCCAAAUACAUGAGGUAUUAUAAAUUUAAGGCUCACUCAGCCACAUUUAUUUAAUCACUUUACUAAGACUUGUAAUGUAUAUUUUUAUCUUAUUUUUAAAGUGUUUACUAUAAAACAUGUACUAUUUUAGGUGCUAUCUUACUGUGGCUUGGUUACUAUUACACACUAUCUGACACUGAAUAAUCUGUAAGGAAGAGAAGCUUACUCUUACUUAUAGUUCUGGAGAUUGGAAAGCCAGGGUAUGGGACCUGCAUGUGCACAGCACCUGGUAAGAGCCUUCCUGCGGUGUCACGGCACGGCACAGAAUGUCACAUGCUGAGAUAGAACAAGCAUGCUGUAUCGAAUCUCUUUUCUGAUAAAUGUACACAUGCCACCAUGGGCAUUAGUACUCACUACUCCUCCUAAUUCUGAACACUUGCCAAAUACCUCAUUCAAACGCCAUUUACAUAAGAAUUUUAGGAUCAAAUUUCUAGCAUGAACUUUUAGGGAAGGUAGUCUAGCCAUAGCAAGUGCUAAGAGUGCCAAGAGUGAUGCUGGUGUUUCCUUCCUUCCUUCCUUCCUUCCUUCCUUCCUUCCUUCCUUCCUUCCUCCCUUCCUCCCUUCCUCCCUUCCUCCCUUCCUCCCUUCCUCCCUUCCUCCCUUCCUCCCUUCCUCCCUUCCUCCCUCCCUCCCUCCCUCCCUCCCUCCCUCCCUCCCUCCCUCCCUCCCUCCCUCCCUUUCUUCCCAGAUUCAUUUCUUUGGUUCUGGGUGUUUUGUCUGCACGUAUGCCUGCACAACAUAAGAGGGCAUUUUGGGACCACAGUUAGAGAUGGUUGUGAGCCACCAUGUGGUUGCUGGGAUUUGAACUCAGGACCUCUGAAAGAACAGUCAGUGCUCUUAACCACUGAGCCCAUCUCUCCAGCCCCACUGGUUCUUUCUUAAGGAGUUUAUGGGCUCCAUGAAGGCACACUCAACUGUAUUAUGACUUAAUGAAUCUGUAGUAGAAGUACACAUAAAUGCCAUGAGAGCACAGAUGAGUUUCAGUUCUGGAUAGAUUAUGUAUAAGAAAACUUUCACAGACCUAUUGGGCAUCUUGAUUUAUUCAUUGGAGAAAUGUUUAUUAAAGUCUCUCAACCGAUUUUAAUUGGAUGAUUAGUUUUUGCAACCUCAUGUAUGUAUGUUGUCCAUCCAUAGUGUGGAUGUCAACUCUUUUACAGAUGCUUUCUUCUGCUCAGUGUGCUCCCUUCUCACACUGCCGAGUGUACCCUGUGUUCUUCGGUUAGUGCGGUGCUGUGUACCCUGUGUUCUUUGGUUAGUGCGGUGCUGUGUACCCUGUGUUCUUUGGUUAGUGCGGUGCUGUGUACCUUGUGUUCUUCGGUUAGUGUGGUGUUGUUCACUGAGUUGGAUUCUGAGGUCUGUGUUUCCUGUGUACAUCCAUGAAAUUAAUGAUGACCAGUGUCAUGUUUUACAGUGUUUAAAUCUUCAAUCCAGUCCCCCCCGUGUGUGUGUGCGUGUGUGUGUGUGUGUGUGAGAGUGUGUGUGAGUGUGUGUGUGUGUGUGAGAGAGUGUGUGUGAGUGUGUGUGUGAGUGUGUGUGUGAGAGAGUGUGUGAGUGUGUGUGUGUGUGUGAGAGAGAGUGUGUGUGAGUGUGUGUGUGAGAGAGAGUGUGUGUGAGUGUGUGUGUGAGAGAGAGUGUGUGAGUGUGUGUGUGUGUGUGUGUGUGUGAGAGAGAGAGAGUGUGUGUGAGUGUGCAUGCAUGUGGUAUUUUGUGAGUUGGUUCUCUCCUUCCAUCAUGGGACAUGUGACCUUGGGAUAGAAGAACUCAGGUCUUCAGGCUUUUGCUGCAAAUGCUUUUACCACUGAGCCAUCUUACCUCCCCAUUCUCACGCAUUUACAUCCACUGUGCUAGCAUAGUUUGUCUAAGAGACUACUGUCCUUUCCCAUGGAGUAUUGCUGUAUUCCUGCUGAAGUCGUUUGACAUGUACCCAUGGAUUUAUUUCUAGGCCUUGGUUCAUUUGCCUCUGUAUGGAUGAUUUUGUGGUUUUAUUUAUAGUGUUAUUCAAAGAACAGUGAUUAUAGUUUCUUAUAAAGUCUGGUUUAUGAAGACCAAGGUCACAGAUUAUUAUUUCUCUGUUCUCUUUUAGAAGUUUCAUGUUUUUACAUUUUGUUGUGUUAUAUGCUGAGUUUGUAUAUGGUGUAAGAUUUCAAUGAAGAGUUUUCUUAGGUAUUUUUGACAUAUACUAACAAGAUAAGCAUUGUUUGAUUAAAAGGAUUCUCGUAUCUCCUUUCAAUGGUUGAGAAUGUAUGAAAUGGUAGUGAUGCUGGUUUCUCCUUGAGAGCAUUGUGAUAGAGAAGAGCCAGCCUCUUUAUUUUAUUUUAUUUUAUUUUAUUUUAUUUUAUUUUAUUUUAUUUUGUAAAAGCUGUAGUUGUGCUUAAUAAUCUCACCCUUCCCAGUGGAGUCCAGCUGUCAGCACAGUGUUCUGUCCUGGAAACAUGUGCAUACUUAAUGUGCUGCUUCCUCAGACAGGUAGCUUGGUGGGCUUGGCUGGAUAUGACAGUUACCUGAUGGUGCUCACCAGUUUACGAAGUAAGCAUAGAUCAAAUAUCAUAUGCCUUAAAUGUUUGCACUUUUACAUGUCAUAUUACAAAAAGUUAGAAGGUAUUAUCUACUGUAAUGCCUACUGAAAAUAACUUCUGAAACAUAAUUCCAUAGUCACAGGUCUUAGGAAGCACUCCUCUGUCACCUCAGAGGGGCUGUUCCCAGGCUUUCCCUGCUGCUUCUCUUGGAAGAGGAUGGAAAGAGUAAGGAAGAAGGGCAGUGGGAGGGAGGAUGGUUCCCAUGGUGAUGUCCUACCCUGUCAGUCUGGAGCACUUCUGCCACAACCUGGGGUUCUAAAGUGUGUUUUCUGUGUGGAUAGAGUCUGAGAUUCUCCCAAAGAUCUCUCUUUCUCUGGCAGGAGCAGUUCAGCCCCUCUUUGCAUAUCUGUUGUGCCAAGUGUGGUAACCUCUGCUCAGCCCCUUUCUAACUUCAGACCCGGCCAGAGAUCUGAACAAUGACUGUUUACUGAAGGGAGGAGCUGGUACUUUACAACACCUGAUAGUUAUUCAUACAUUUGAAAAUUUCACAUCUGUUUUUAAAAGCCAGAAAUAAUAUGAAUCUAAAACCAUUGUAACUUUGUUUCUAACUAAAUCUGAAAUGUGUUCAGUUCACCGUGACACAUCAUACAUUUUUAGUUAAUAAAGUUUCUUACAUUUUAGUUUUUAAGGGAAAUAAUAUUUUAGUUGGAUAAUUAUUAGACUUAUGCUGUAUAUGUUGAAAGCAUAAAAGAAUUGAAUGUUUUGCUUUUUAACAAAUAAAAGCUUCUUUGAUAGUAUUAGGUAUGUUACAGCAACUAUAAAUCCUAUCAGAAUAGAUUAGUUUGACAAACCAUUUUAAGUCUUUUGAGGUUUACCAUAGGAUUUUGAUUUAAGCUGUAUCUGAAAACUGACACAUUCACAUGAAUCUAAAGGGAAGAAUUAUCCCUGUACUAACAUAUAUUAAAAGAAACAAUGAUUUUAGAAACAUACUUGUGAUAUUUGAUAAUGAAAAUUAAUUUGGAAUUUCAGAAAUACACAAUUAAAAGCAGAAAUUUUAUUAUUUGCUAUAUGUAUGUCUUGUAAACAUCUUCUCAAGAACAUUUAGAAUUCUUAAACUUUCUUUCCAUAGUUAUAGCGAUCACAGCACUGGUUAGAGGUCCAUAUGUCUCAUUUUGACUCCACAGUAAAUAUCACCACUCCACUGAAUAAAUAAUUUUAUGACUACUAGUUUGGUCUUGAGACGUUUGACAAAGAGAGAGUAAGGUAUCCUGAAAAAAGCAUAAAGCAAAACACAAGUUGAAGCAAGGUUCUCUUCUUAAAUAAUGCAGGUGGCUCCUCUCUAAAGCACACUACUGUUUAGACAGCCAUGUGAAUUACAAAAAGGGUAGUCAAAUCUUAGACAAUUUCUGUUACAAAUUUGGCUUAAACAUGCAACAUUUUGCAUUUUGACAGCAUGUAUAUAUGAAUGUUCAUUUAUGCAAAUAGCAUCCUUUCUCUGGCUUGAGAGCGCUAAGUCUGCGUUCACUAAUUAUGAACUUAGUAGAGGGCUGUGGAUUGAAUGCAUGUUCCGUAAAAUUGAAAUCCUAAGCCUAGUGUGAUGCCAUGUGAAUGCCGGGCUGUGGCUGGCAGCUGGGAUUAGGCAGUUCAUGACCACAACGGUGUCAUGGUUAAUCACCUCAUUAAUAAAAGAAAUGGAAGGGGAGCUCUGUGUGCACUGCUGCCAUAUACAUGUGGAAUGAUUAGACGCCCAUCUAGAAAUAGAGAACACAGACCUCAUCGGUCACUAUAUCUACUAACACUUUGAUCUUGGACAUCCUAGCCUUCAGAUCUGUGAAAAAUAUUUACAUUUAAGCAAAUUAGGUUUUAGAAUGUGCUGUAAGAGCCAAACUGACUUAAGACUUACACAAUAGGAUGGAUAAAGAAUAUAUUGAGAUGGUAGCCCCAGAUACAUACCAUUAUUUAAAUAUGAGACACAGCCCUUAGAGAAAAGUGCAGAAAACUAUAAAGUACACACACAGCAAAAAGAAUGCAAGGUAUCCACUCCUGUUUACAACAGUAAGCUGUAAAGCCUUUGGGAGUAACUUAGAAGAAGGCCAGAAGAGAAUUAGAAGAUACUGAGCAUGUAUUACUGAAUGAAAAUGACUAAGUUAUAUGUUAGGCUAAUACUUAUUUUUAAAAUCAUAUGAAGAUUUUAUCAGUAGUUAGUUUUGAAUGCUGAGUUUACACCUGAUUUUCCUUACUUGUUCUUUCAUUUUAUGUGUCAAACAGUGAAUCGUGCAUUACUGUGUUGUUCAGAAACCAACUGAUAUUUAUCCAGGGUGAGACCAUGGAGUAAAGCCAGGCGUGUGGAAGAGUUUGGUCAGUCAGACCUUACUGCAGGAUGUACAAGAAAAUGCUGGUCAGUCACAAAGAGCUAGAGAACAUUUUCACCAUCUUCCUAGUCUCUGUAAGAACACCUCAGGGGCUGGGGAUUUAGCUCAGUGGUAGAGCGCUUACCUAGGAAGCGCAAGGCCCUGGGUUCGGUCCCCAGCUCCGAAAAAAAGAACCAAAAAAAAAAAAAAAAAAAAAGAACACCUCAGGCCUUUCACCCCCUAUAUUUAACUAGCAUUUGGCCGUGGGACUGCGCUCCUGAAGCAUACUUCCCACAAAAAGAGCACAGUGUUAACCGGUUCUGCAUUGUGUCCUGUCAGUGGUUGAUUGUGAGGUGAAAUGGCAGUUGUUUUGUGUAGGUAAGUCUGUAAUACAGAUGCAGAGGGCUUUGUUCUUUAGCAGUCAUUACCAUGCCCACGAAGAGCCAAACAAAUUUUAUUUAGGAAAACCCAAGUUGGGAAUCAGAGAAAAUAAUCUCCUCAGUGGAGAACUGUUAUUAGCCAGAUGAAACUUAAAGUAGGUUUACUGCGGGAGUUUGUCUUUACAUCUGCACUAUAGUCCCAGCCUGGUGCCGGCCCUAAAGUUCAAUGAAUCUUGACAAGCAUUGGCUUGAUUUCAGCGGCUAUAUGAUGCUAAGAAUCCUUGACAAGUAAGAAAAACUAGUUUUUAAAAAAUUUCAUCUAGGUGUUUUAUUCAAAUUAGUACAAAUAAUGUUUUCUUUUCUCUAUCUAAUACAAAAUCAAUUGUUGAGAGCAAUCUUAAGAUUGGGGCCUAGCUGUGCACAAGGGAAUACUCUUGUAAGCUGUGAUAAAAAUAAGAAUAAAUAAAUAAAUAAAACCUCAUUCUGCUUGCCCUUUGAAUACAAACUAAAAGCACGUGAUUCGGUAGUUGGAAUGUUUGCUAGGAGGGUUUAUGUAAUUUAUAUACAAAAAAGAAUUAAAUCGUUAAAGAAUGAGUUUUGGAACAGAAUGUAUAAGGUAUAUACAUACUGUUCUGGCUGCAAAAUAUGAAAUUUAACAUGUGUCAAUGAAAUAUAUAAAUAAUAAUUAUGUAGUCCUAAAUAAAAGUAAUCAUGCAUUUAAAUUAUACCCAUAUAUAAAGACGUGUGUGUGUGUGUGUGUGUGUGUGUGUGUGUGUGUGUGAAGGAAAGAAAAAAAUUUUAGCCUUUUCCACUGAUUAUAGGUAAUGUAAUUCAAAUUAUAAGAAACUAUAUUCAAUAAAAUUUCAGGAAAAUAUAUUUGCAAGAAGUGUCUUGAUACUGAAAUGUGUUGAGUCUGUGGUAUCAUGGAAUUGUUUUGAAGGAGAUUGUAGAAGUCACUGUAAUGUGUGAUAGCUCCAUGAGCCUCACUCUGUCAAGUACUCCCCUGUGCAUGGGUGUGCAAGGUGUCAUACCCAGAUGGCUUCUCACUGUUCACUUGGCUGUUAUCAGAAUGAAUGUGAGUUCACACUGGCUGUGAUCAGAAUGAAUGUGAGUUCACACUGGCUGUGAUCAGGAUGAAUGUGAGUUCACACUGGCUGUGAUCAGGAUGAAUGUGAGUUCACACUGGCUGUGAUCAGGAUGAAUGUGAGUUCACACUGGCUGUGAUCAGGAUGAAUGUGAGUUCACACUGGCUGUGAUCAGGAUGAAUGUGAGUUCACACUGGCUGUGAUCAGGAUGAAUGUGAGUUCACACUGGCUGUGAUCAGGAUGAAUGUGAGUUCACACUGGCUGUGAUCAGAAUGAAUGGGAACCUGUUUUUGUUGCCUAUACCAGCCCCUCCUUUAAUGUUUUUAAUUAAUGUGUUUCUCCUGUAUUCAGGAAGUCACUAAUGACAUUUGAGGAGAGGAAGCUUGUUAGCUUCCUUCCUGACUAUGCAGCUUUUAUUUUUUAUUGAAAUUGUGGUCUCAGCCAAAAACCAGUUGGUGGAAGGAAGGAGUCAUGAAUGAAAAGCAGAGGGAGAAAAGCCAGGGAGGGUUUGUAAGGGGAAGAGAGGAAAGCAUCAGUAAACUGGUCAUGCAGAUAUCAAGUUCCAUAAAAGGCUCAGCUCUGACACAAACACUGCCAUCUCAUCCCUGCUGCUGUGCAGGAGCACGAGGAGCACAUGUGAUGACGAGGAGCACAUGUGAUGACGAGGAGCACAUGUGAUGGUUCUGUCAUGGAAUUUUACAUGAUGAUUUUCUUGUUACGUUUUUAUUUUUCAUUUAACAACUAGAAGGCACCUGUUUCUAUAAUGGUCUUGACAAGUUUCCUUUUUCAUUUCCUGCUUUGCGAACCUUAAGUUCUACAUUAUGUGGUUUAAUCAUAGUCAACGCACCCUAACUUUUCACAGAUCCAUCCCCUUCCCUAUCCACCUGAGUCUGUGUCUUUGGAAAAACGCUUACAAGGCCAAUUUACUCUCCGAUAUUGAAAAUGUUCCCCACUCUAUGGUCUUGACCUAGAGAGGGUCCCUUUCCUGGGGCUGUCACUAACAGCGACAAAGUGCUCCAUAGCUAAGGGAGGGCUGUGUGCCUGCCUCCCGUUCCCCAGCCAUGCUGGGCCUCCUUCUGCCUUCACUGUGUGCUUGGCUGCCCUGAAGACGCCCCAGCUCUACCUUCCUUCCAUCCCUUCUCCUCUAACGAUCUCUGAGCCUCAGAGAGGACGUGUCCUCUGUGUCCUCGGGUAGGAGUCUCUGAAUUAAUCACCAUCCACUGAAAAUAGAAGCUUUUGUGGUGAAGUUUGGGUGAUAGAGAUAUGUGUGAGUGUUGUGAGUGAAGCACAUGUCUGAUGCAAAGAUUCACAGGUGAGGGAAACAAGUCUGUGUCACUUCAUUCAGGAUUGUUUUCAGCCCUAUCAGUUUACCUACAAAUCUAUUUACCUACAAAUUUCAUAAUUUUACUUGUAUUAAUAAUCUGAACAUCAUCCAUUUGUGCAGACAUAUCACAUUUUCAUUAUUCACUUAUUUCUGUAACUUUGGAAGUUUAUUUCAGUGGGGAUCUAUGUUGAUAAUCUAUUUGGGAAAUGGUACAGGUCCUUGGCACAUAGUUCAGGCUGGACUUGAACUUGUGGUUUUCCUGCUUUCCCCAGUGCUGUCUGUGGUUAUGGGUAUGGUUUGAAGUGCCGACCUGUCUGUUGCUGUUGAGUAGAGACAGAGAUGGGGCAGAGUCCUCAUGGAAUAAAGUGGCCCCUCCCGAGCUGUUCUUAAAGGUGAAAGACAGCUGUGGUAGCGUAACCUUCUGCAGGACUGAGUACUGCACGUGUUAGACUGUACACUCUCUGUUCGUCAGACAUCAGAUAUUUGGCUUAUCCUCACAGGUGUGCUUUAAAUCCUGUUCUGUAUGAAGUAAGGAAAAAUACACCAAUAUUUCAGAAGGAUCUUUCCCUCUCUCCUUUCCUUUUAAAAUAAAUUUCUUUUCUGGAAUAUUCUCCUCAUUUUUAGGAGCGAUCUCCCAUCCUUUGUGAUUUAUGUCAAUAUUCUGGCUGUCUAAAAGAAAGUAGACCAUGAAAGGUCAUUGUAGAGAUGGGAGUCAUGAGGGAAGGAGUAUGACUCAUAUGUCCACUUCCUUCGAAUAGCCGAGUAGGGAGGUACACUGUCUGUCGGACAAUAGGUGAGGAGGAGAAUUCACUUUCCCGGGAUGGUGGGCAGUUGUACGGCCCUCACCAGCUCUUGAAUUCCCCCAGUUUGCUGUGGCCCCGGCAGUCUGCUGCCUCCCUCCCUCAGCAGCUCUGGUCAGUAGUCAGUGUCAUCCUUUCAGAGAAAAAUAAACUAUGUGGUGGUUAAUAGAUUGUUGUCCAAAUGGAUAACAAAAAAAGUUUAUCAGACAUGAAUUUAUUCUCUUUUUUGCUCUUUAUAAUUAUUAAAACUUUAACUGCUUGAAUCACAGGCUAAGUAGAAACAAAUAAAUCAUCCAAAUUUGCAUUUCUCUUCUGCCACUCUUUCUGUCCUGCAACAAAACAAAAGAGAGUAAUCUGGACUUUCCCUCCCUCGUAAUCUCCUGCCACUGGGAAAGUCACGUGAGCGAGAGCAUAGCAGUCUCAGUAGUUUCGUAGCUAGUUAAACAUUUCAGGGAACUUAAGAGAUCUUGAUGCAUUUUCCUUUUAAAAAUCAGAUAUAGAUGUUAAAAGACAGGAAAGUACCACACAGCAUUACACUUUCUCUUUCCUAGGACUCAUACGUUGUUUAGAGUAAAUUAUAAUGCCAGUGUUGUAGACGUUCAGAAAUUGAUAAACUCUUAUCCACAAUUUUUUGAAGUAUAAAUAAGGAACAAAAUCUUGAAAUCAAAUUUACAGUCUUAAGUUAAAAAGUAUUGAUAAUUUUACAGUGUGUGCUAAAGAAUCAAAUUGUCCCAUCCCACACAGAUAAAAAAUUGUUUUGAAGUUUACAUAAUUUAUGUAAAAUAAAACUAAAAAUAAAAAAAAUGGAUGAGAAUGAUCUUAAGCCACCAUUUAAACAUUUUAUAAAAUGUGGCUUUUAAUUUUUCCCUAAUAAGAAUCAUUUGGUAAAUCAUCGGAUCACCUGUUCUCACAUUCUUCUAUGUACUUUGACCAAAUUCUAGGAAGGAAGUCUAAGGCCCUGGGUAGAUUAGCUAGGUGGGAAGGCUGCUGUGGUUCCUAGGAGGGAAAUGCAGACUAGAAACAGUCAAUGUGCAAACAUAAAAAUUAAAAAGUUAUUAACAGACAAUACCAUGAACAAAAAUAGUUUUAGAAACACGGAUUUGCAUUCCAAAUGUCAGCAGAUGUUUAGAUAUAAGGUAAAAUUAAGUAUUAAUGUUUAUUUACAAUAACAAGGGUCAGAAUUUACAUUGAAAUUUGGUUCGUCAGCAAGGAAAGAAUAAGUAUUCAAUGGAUUGUUUUGUUCAGUUGAGCUGUGCAUCUGGACAUGGGUGCAUGUAACAAAAAGGAGGAAGACAGGAUGUCCUUUCCAAAGAAGAGUUGUCACUAGGAAAACAACACAGGAGAAAACAGAUAUUACAAAACCCACUUAAUGCAAGACUAUGGUACUUAAACACCUUAAUAAAAUGUUUUGAACAUUGUUCAUACUAUGUUGCAUACUGUAUAUUUUGAUUAUAUUAAUGCCCCAGGUCUAGUUUACAUCACUAUCCACCCAUCUUUGUGUCCUCAUUAAGUACAGUUUGUGCUGCCCAUAUUCUUGAGUGUAUAGCCAUCCACGGGCAGACUUAGGGCACUAGGGUCAAACCUGUAAAGAAAACUGACUCUCUCCCAGCAGCUGUCAACUACCAAUAUCCCCUCAGCUAGGAGUAGGAUUUCAUGUUCAGCUCCCCUCUCAGUGCUUGGAUUUUGUCUGGCUUGGCUUGCACAGGUAUCGUGUACUAAGUGUGUUAAUGUGUGACUGAUAUGUUGUAUCAAAAGCCACUGCUUUGUUGUAGUUACCCAAGGCUUCUGGACCUACAGGCUUUGCACCCCUCUUCUACAGUGAUACCUGGCCUCUGAGAGGAGAGAUGUGAUAUAGUUGUCCCAUUUAGCACUGAACACUACACCUUGGCCACUUGUGUCUCCUUGUAUUAAUUGCUAUCUACUGCUUGGAUGAAGCUUGAGAGAUGCUCUAACUCAUGUUGUAGUACGAAUAUAACAAUAAGUCAUUGAGAGUUGGUUCAGUACUGUAUCAUUUAGCAGAAUAGUAGUAGCAGAUUCUUACCCCCAGGGCCUAGGACCUGCCUAGCCACACUUCUUGGUCCUGAUAACUUCUGGGUACCACUUUCAGCUUAUGGAUUGAGUGUUAAAUUCAGUCAGAAAGUGAUUGGCUGUUCUCAGGACAUUGUUGCCACUGUUGUACUGGUGAACAUGUGUCUUGCUGGACUAGUUGUUACUGUUGCUCAUAGCUGGCUGAGAAUAAUGAUUACCUUUCUUAUCCCACUAUGGCCACAGCCAUUCUAGCAGUAUGAAAGCCAACCAGUCGGAGGGAAACUCCCAACCAAACACCAGCUUGAUUUCUCCAAGCUUUAUGGCUUGAAGAUGAGGUGUCUUCAGCAACAGGGUCUUACCAUCAUGUUCUGGAGGGCUAGCCAAGAGUCUAAGCAGUAACCUGUCAUGUUGAGCACCUGUGGGGCACUAAAAGGAUAACCCAUUUCUGUCUAUGGUAUCUGGUCAGCACAUUUCCCUGUUUUAGUGUUCCUAUCCUGUACACACAAGCAGACACACAUACACACACACACACAGAGAAAGAGAGAGAAAGUUUGAAGCUUUGACCUUUUAAAUGUACUUAAUCCUAUACUUUUAUAUUACCAACAGUGAUUAGCGUGUUAGUAGUGAUAGCUGUGUGAGUGUAUACUGGUGCCUGAGCAUACUGAGUUGUUUACAUGUGUAGGUAUUUUACAUGUCAACAAUAUCAGUACGUAGCUGAAAUAAAUGAUCAGUAAAACAAAAUUUUAAUCUUAGUAAGAACUCAUUAAUUGAUGAAAUUUAUGCAGAUAACUCCUUUUUUCUUUGUAUACAUACUACCAAAUACCAUUGAUACAGAGAUACUGAGGUAUUCACUGUUAUUUGCAAAUGGCUACAGUUUGGGGCUGGAAAGCAGAUCCAUAUAAGGCACAGAAGUGACAGCCAGGCAGGCGACUCUGGAAAUAACACCCUAAACCCUGCUUAGAUUCGUGGCACAUAGUGAAUUUUUUUUUUUUUUUUUUGAGCUGGGGACCGAACCCAGGGCCUUGUGCUUGCUAGGCAAGCGCUCUACCACUGAGCUAAAUCCCCAACCGUGAAUUUUUUAAGAUUAAAAAAUGACAAUUAAGAUAACUGAGACUUGUAGAAGAUAUUUAAAUAUGUCAGUGAUAUGAUCACAGCAUAGCUAAUGGGCAGUGUGCUUGACACUGUUAGAACAGAAUGACUGACAGAUAAACUGAAGGGAGGAAGUCAAGUUCUGCCUAUCAGUGCAGUGCUGCCCUUCCUCCUGCAGUGCAGGGCUGACCAUCAGUGGUGACCUUCAGUGGUGUCACUGUGUCUCAUCUAGCAGAGUUAAUUUAUAGAUUUUUGUGCUUCUCACUUACCAAGUAUGGUUUUCAAAAUGCUUUCUCCUGGUAUGUGGCUAUCUUUAAUAUUCUUUUUUGUGGUGUUUUUUUGUAAAGGAAAACAUUUAACUUGACUGAGGCCCUAUAAGGAGUAAGAUCUUUCAAGGGACCACACCAUUGGCACCAUAUCCAAAGAGGCACAUGGUUUGUCUCCUGUUAGCCUCUUGGAGAUUGGCAAUUUUAUAGUUCUGCCAUUUAUACUCAGAUCUCUGACAUAUUUUAAAUUAACUUUCAUGACAGUCAUAAGGUACUGUGUUUCUUAACGUAUGGUGUGUCAGCAUUGUUGGAAACAUUGUCCUUUGUCAUUCUGUUGUCUUGACUCCAUUGUCUAUGGUCAGUUGAAUGUGUACAUCUGCUGUCACUGCCCUCCACAAGGCCAACACCACACUGUCCUGGGUGGUGUGUGUGUAGCAACUCUUGAAUUCAGGUUGUGUGAGUUACUCAGUGUGUUGAACAAUGUUUGACUAGUCCAGGUCUUUUCAUAUAAACCUUACAAUCAUCUCAGCAUAUUCACAGAACAAAUUGCUAAGAUUUUGUUUUGAAUUGGGAUUAUGUAGAACAUAGAAUUCAAAAGCAAUUUUUCUACCAUAAAGUUGGAAAUUUCUUUUGUCCAUUUUCUAAUGGUCCUUAACACACGUUUUGACAUACUUUGUUAGAUUUGUACUUGAAUAUCAUCUGUUCUGGCUGCUUUUCUGUGUCAACUUGACACAAGCUGGAGUUAUCACAGAGAAAGGAGCCUCCCUUGAGGAAAUGCCUCCAUGAGAUCCAACUCUAAGGCAUUUUCUCAAUUAUUGAUCAAGGAGGGAGGUCCCAUUGUGGGUGGUGCUGUCCCUGGGCUGGUUGUCCUAGGUUCUAUAAGAAAGCAAGCUGAGCAAGCCAGGGGAAGUAAGCCAGUAAGUAACAUCCCUCCAUGGCCUCUGCAUCAGCUCCUGCAUCCUGACCUGCUUGAGUUCCAGUCCUGACUUCCUUUGGUGAUGAACAGCAAUGUGGAAGUGUAAGCUGAAUGAACCCUUUCCUCCCCAACUUGCUUCUUAGUUAUGAUGUUUGUGCAGGAAUAGAAACCCUGACUAAGACACCAUCUUUGAGUAUUAAAGUAAAUACUGCUGUAUUUUAUAUAAACCUCUCUUGCUCACCAUGGCGGAGUCCAUAGGAAAUAGUCGCCUUCUUUCUGUAUGUUAGUUCUAGAACCUGACCCUUUCAAUAGUUACUUACACUUAGUCUUUUCUUGAUUGGACAGUUGCUGCUACUCAGACCAAAUUAUAACCUUUGCCUCUCUCUCUCUAUAGAUAUGUAGUUUUCUAUUUUUUUUUACAUAUUCUCUCUUACAAUACAUCUCCACCACAGUUUCCCCUCCCUCCAUUCCUAGCUCCCUCUUUCCCCCCAUCACUUCUCCUCAUUCCAUGAUCCACUCCCCAUCUAUCUCCCAUCAGAAAAUAGCAGGCCUCCAAGAUCAACCAAACACGACAGAACAAAAUACAGUAAGACCAGGCAAAAGCCCCCAUGCCAGAGCUGGACAAGGCAACCCAACAACAUGAGGAGGAAAAAGAGUUCUGAGAGCAGGUGAAAUAGUUGAGACGUACCCAUUCCCACAGUUAGAAGUCCCACCAGACACCAAGCUAACAGUUACAGCUCACAGGCAGCAGACCUGCGCAGACCCCUGCAGGCUCAGAGCUUGCUCUUCAGACCCUGUGCGCCUGUACUGCACCCGCUGGGGUGGUUCAGUGGGCCAUGUUUUCCUGCUGUCCUCUAUUCCCAAUGACUCCUACAAUCUUCCCUCUCCCUCUUCUGUGGGUUCCCUGAGCUCUGAGGCGAGGGACACAAUGGAGGUCUCCAAUCCAGACUCUACAGAAUGCAUGGUGAGGUUCUUUGCGUCUGUUCCUACCUGCUGCCCUAGAGGAGGCCUCUCUGGUGACAACUGGACAAAACACUAACCUGAGAGCAUAGCAGAAUCCCACUGGGAAUCAUUUCUCUUCCCCUCUCCCUUCUCCUCCCUCCCUCGCUUCCUCCCCUAUAUUUGGUAUCCUCAGGCACCCUAGGUAUCUGAGUUAUCCAUUCUCCAAUUCCUAGCCAUCAAAGCAGCACCAGGCAUGGACUUCCUCUCCGGAGUGUGUCUCCAGUUAAAUCAGACAAUGGUUAGCCACCCCCACAGGUUCCUUAUCCCAGCAUAUCUGGCAGGCACCACAAGUUCUGUGUCACCCUUGCCCUAGCACAUCUUGGAGACAGGAGGAAUUGUUCAUCAGAGGUUCUGUGGCUGGAUUGGUGUCCAUGUUGCUCUUUUGGUAGCCUGCAGAUUGCCUUCUGGCACCAGAGAGACUAGAACAAGGGAGAAGGCUCCAUGCAGGCACCAGCUUGAGUUCUCCAUGUUCAGUGAAGCUGUAUGGAUGUUAUCCUUGUUAGUGGGGCCACACUGUCAGUUUGCUGAGAGCAACCACAUCAUUGCAUCAGCCUGGCUUGUUUGGUGAUCUCUACAGGACCAUCCUGGCCAAUAACUCAACCAAAUGCAACCCAUUCCCACCAGUGGAAGCCUUGUCUUGCUGCAUGAGAUGACGAAUUGAGUGCGACUCCACAUUUCCCAUCGCCGGGAGUCCUCACUAGGGCCACCUUCAUAGAUUCUAGGAACUUUCCACAGCACUAGGUUUCCACACCCCCCAAAUGCCCCCCAUUCUAACCAUCUCUCCCCACACUAUUUCAUCCCUCCAACCCCACUUGUUCCCUCCCACUCCCGUCCCAACCCACACAACCCAGCAAAAUCUGUUUCUUACCUCUCCUAGGGAGAUCCGUGCAUAUACCUAGACCUCUCUUCUUUACCUAACCUCUCGGUUACAAUCUACAGAGUGUAGCUGGGUUAUUAUUUUACUAGCAGCUAAUAUCUACUUCUAAGUGAGUACAUACCGUAUUUAUCAUUGUGGAUCUGGGUUACCUCACUCAGGAUGGUUUUUUUUUUUCCUAUUUCCAUCCAUUUGACUGUAAAUUUCUUGAUACCAGUUUUAAACAGCUGAGUAAUAAUCCAUCAUGUAAAUGCAGGCUUUUGUUUAUCCGUUCUUCUGUCGAGGGCAUCUAGGUUGUUUCCGUUUCUGGCUAUUAUAAAGAAAGGCACAAUGGAGAUGGCUGAGCAAGUGUCGUCGUGUGAAAUAGCAUCCUUUGGGUAUAUGUCCAUCUCUUUAACUGUUUCUCAGACGUUUGAGAUUCCGCUAUUGAGAAGUCUCUGUCUAAAUCUGUACCUCUUUUUAAUUGGAUUAUGUGCUUUAUUUUGAUAAUAGUAGUCUUCUUUAUAUAUUUUGGAUAUUAGUCCUUGAUCUGGUAUGGAGCUCGUGAAAAUCCUUCCCAUUCUCUAGACUUUUGUCAGUAUCCUUUGCCUUACAGAAGCUUUUCUGUUUUGUAAUGUCGCAUUUAUUUAUUGUUGAUCUUAGUGCCUGUGCUGUCAGUGUUCUGUUCAGGAAGUUGUCUCCUAUGCCUGUGCAUUUAAGGCUGUUUCCUACUUUCUCACCUAAGGUUCAGUGUGUGUAGUUUUAUGUUGAGAUCUUUGAUCCACUUGGACUUGAAAUUUGUACAGGAUGACAAAUAUGGAUCUGUUUGCUUUGUUCUAUAUACAAACCAGUUUGACCAGCAUAGUUUGAUUAAGAUUCUCUUUUUUUUUUCUAGUGUGUAUUUUGGACUUUGUUUUUAAAAAUUUGGUAUCCAUAGGUAUGUGCAUUUGUAUCUGUCUUUAGUUCAGUUCCAUUAAUCAACCUGCCUCUUUUUGUGCCACACCACUCAGGCCUUACCAUGUAGCUCGCUAGUAACACUUCAGGCCAACAGCAGCUCCUCUGUUGCUCAGAGUCAUUUUAGCUAUGUCAGAUUGUUGCCAUGUGAAGUUGAGACUUGUCCUUUCAAGGUUCGUAAAGAAUUGAGUUGGGUUUUGAUGGGAAUUGCAUUGAAUCUAGAGAUGGCUCUCUGUAAGAGUCAUCUUUACUAUGUUACUUUUACCAGUCCGUGUGUGGGGGUGAUCAUCUGAUAUCUUCUUCAAUUUCUUUCUGGAAAGAUUUGACAUUUCUAAUGUUCAGGUCUUUCGCUUGCUUGAUUAGAGUUACCCCUCCGUAUUUUAUUGGCUUUAACUAUAUUUUACAUUAUUUAAGGCUAUAGCAAAGAUUGCUUUUGAUUUUGCUCUCAGUCCAUUUGGCAUCUGUGUAUAGGAGGGCUACUCUUUCUGUUUGAUUGUUUGUUGUUUUGUUUUUUCUUUGUGGGGGGCAUCAUACAGCUUAAGAGAUUCAGGGGUAAAGGUCCUCUCCAUCUUUGAUCACAUUUGUCUCUGUACCCAGUAGAACUUACUGCACUUAAUAAGGCAUACAGACACUUUAGUUCUGAGUGUAUUAAAAGAAUUAAACACUUUUCUAAAAAUCUUUCAAUGAUAAGUUGGUACCCUUUAGCUAACUAAAGCUAGAGGGUAGGAAAUUGGAAAAGGAAAUUAACUAGUAUUUUGUAACCGUUUUUAAUAAUUUCUUGUUUUCCAAACACUGCUUUUAUAACAGAAGUGUUUUACCUUUGCACAGUAUUAAUUACUUUAUUAUAGGUGGAAGCCUGUGGUAGGUGACUACACAAUGAGAUUGCAAACAACCAAUGGCACUUUUCUGACGUCAGAAGAAUUUGUAAGAGUAAACAUCACCAAAAGUACAUAAAAAUUCAUCAGCAUAAACAUCAAAGUAUGUUGCGGUAAAAAUAAAAAAGUGAUGGAACGGUUCACGUGUCCCUGGAGGUCUCCUGCUAGCUCUGGCCCCAGCGGGCCAUUGGAACUACUGCUAAUUUAACUCAGCAGCUCCAUGCUGCCCUCACCUCCUUUCUGACCCACUGUCCUCCAGUCAUUCCAACAUGGCGCCUUGUCAGGCCACCCCACCCUCACUCACGGCUCUCUUGGCUGGUUUCUACCAGGCAAUUCUAUGAAGGGCUCAGUACAUCCUGCAACCAUACACUCUCUUGAACUCAAUUAAGUUGCCACAGGAAAGAACACACCUCACAAUAUCUUGUGAUCCCAAUAGAUAAGAUGUAAUUUGCCCAUCUAGACAACACAAAGUCCUGUACACACGCAUCCCCUAAGGAUAGUCAUAGCAACCUGUAAUACAUGCAGAGAGGAAUCUGAACAUCUGCCGCCAUGUUCUCUCAGCUCCCUCACCUCCCUCGGGCCUCCUCUGCCUCUCUAAAACUUUUCUCCCGCCCAUCCUUCUUCUUGUCCAAUGACAGGCCUCAUUCUCUCUGAUACCUGCUUUCAUCUGCUUAAUAACAUUAACCUACAAAAGUACAUUAAAAAUACAAUCAAGAAAAAAUAUAAUUGCUAAAGAGUGGUUUAGAGAACUCAAAUGGCAAUUAGCAUUCAUAGCAAGUUUUGAUGACUUUACAAGAUCCCUGUACCAUACUGACUAUACACCCCUGCAGAGUGUACAUUAAAGGCUGCAAUUUCUUAAAGAGUUCUGAUGUCAUUACUAAAUACACACUCUUUUCUGUUACACAAGCUAUGCCACCAGGUGGGAUUACAGCCCUUUGACAUCUAUGGCUUGUACAUGGAAGUCUAAAUUGGGUUUGUUUUUUAAAAAAAGGUCAGGGAUGUUUACCCUAUUGUUUUAGUAUUUGAAUGCCAUAAGACGUAAAGUGCACAAUCAAUUAUCAACCGGAUGAGAAAUCAUUCUAAAAUUGAAACCAUCAAGACAGGGAGAAGGAACAAGACAUUCCAGAACUUUUAAAAGAGGAAGUUAAGAACAAGUACCAAAAACCAGAAGUGGAGGUGGUACCUAAUAGCAUGAAUGAGAUAAUGUUUUUGGCUAUGUAUAAUGAAUAAUACUACCCCAAAUUUCACUAGAUUAUAUGAAUUGAGCUUACUCUAAUACUGAAACCAACCAACCACUUGGGUUUUAGAUUUAACACUGUACUAGACAGACAUUCACAGAAUCACUUAAUGGAAUCACAGCCUUGUCAGGUGGAUAAAAAGGGUGUUUUAGUUUGUAAUUAUUUUACUGAGUAUUUUUGAAUCUAUGUUCACAAGAAAAAGUGGUCUGUAAUUCUCUUUCCUUGUCGAUUCUUUAUAUGGUUUGUGUAUCAAUGUGACUCUGGUCUCAUAAAGUGAGUUUGGCAAUAUUCCUUUUGUUUCUGUUUUGUGGGGCUGUUGAAGAGGAUUAAUAUUAGCUCUUCUUUGAAUCUCUGAUAGAACUCUUAACUAAAACCAUCCGCUCUUGAGCUUUCUUUAGUUGGGAGACUUUCAAUGGUUGCUUCACUGGGGCUUGCAGUUUUAUUUAAGUUGUUUAUUUGAUCUUGAUUUAACAUCAGUAAGUGGUACGUGUGGAGAAAAUUAUGUUUCCUUUACAUUUUUCAAUUAGGUAGCAUACAGGUUUUUAAAGCAUGUCCUUGUGACGUCUCUGGAUGUCCUCGGUGUCUGUUGUUAUGCCCCCCUUUCAUUUCAGGUUUUGUUAAUUUGGAUCUUCUUUCUGUGCCUUUUUGUUAGCUUGUAUAAGCGUUUGUCUGUUUUGUGGAUUCUUCUGAAGAAAGAAGCAGCUUUUUGUUUGUUUUAUUGAUUGCUUUUAUUGUUCUCUUUCUAUUUUAUUGACUUUAGCCCUUGGUUUGAUUAUUUCUUGUGGUUCACCCCUCUUGUGUAUGCUUACUUCUUUUUUAGAGUUGUCAAGUGUGCUGUUUAAUUACUAGUACAAUAUCAUCCUCUUUUUUUUUUUUUUCUUGUAGGCACUUAGUGUUCUGAAAUUUUCUCAUAGCACCGCCUUCAUUGUGUCCCAUACAUUUGAGUAUGCUCGGUAUUCAAUUUCAUUGAAAUUUAGUGUCCACUUUCCACCAUAGCCAGGAUCCACGAGUCCAGGAAUCAAGUGAGGUGGAAAAGGGAAUCGUUCCACUCACUAUCGCUCCUAAUGACCAGCUAGGGAAUUUCUUGAUUCUUGUUCCUGCAGCCCUAAGUUCUGCUGGCCUGGAAGUUUUGGUUCCAGAGGGAGGAGUGCUCCAGCCAGGAGCCACAACUAACAUUCAGUUCAACUGGAAGCUCAGACUUCCCCCAGGUCAUUUUGAGCUUCUAAUGACCUUAAACUAGCAAAGCCACACCUACUCCUACAAGGCCACACCUUCUGGUAGUGCUACUCCCUAGGCUAAGCAUAUUCAAACCAGCAUGUUUAGAAGGUCUUUAAUUCCUUUAUUUCUGUCUUGUCUUAUUUUUCAUUUAGUAGAGACGUGUUCAGUUUCCAUGGCUUUGUGUCGUUCUGUUGUUUCU
Rattus norvegicus (Norway rat) is the source of this 41778-nucleotide long non-coding RNA. RefSeq lists it as uncharacterized. Lineage: Eukaryota; Metazoa; Chordata; Mammalia; Rodentia; Muridae. The record is from RefSeq and is a predicted model, not a curated record.